GGCGGGGUAGAGAAGCAGCAACUCGCAAGGCUCAUAACCUUGAGAUCGCCGGUGCGACUCCGGCCUCCGCAACCA
Molecule: transfer RNA, 75 nt
Filed under: Firmicutes bacterium ADurb.Bin506
Lineage: Bacteria; Bacillati; Bacillota
Description: tRNA-Met
Rfam family: tRNA
About the family: Transfer RNA (tRNA) molecules are approximately 80 nucleotides in length. Their secondary structure includes four short double-helical elements and three loops (D, anti-codon, and T loops).
Source: RNAcentral